AUAGUGGGUGUGCUGAAGACCACUGGCCUUGUGGGAUUGGCUAUAUGCAAGAGUCCAUAAGAGAGGCUGAGAAUAUUGUACACAAAGAUUCUUGAUGUUCUUGAGCAAAUCCCUGAAAAUGCAGCACAUAGAAAGUAUACAGAACAGAUUACAAAUGAGAAGCUGGCUAUAGUUAAAGUAGAACCAGAUGUUAAAAAAUUAGGAGACCAACAUUAAGGUGAUCAAGUAGAAGAGGUGAUUCCUCAGGUUGAAGAUUAACUAAGUCUGGUGAGGAAAAUGACGCAGUGAAAACCAUGGGAGCCUUAGGGGAAGAGCCUCCUGCCAAUCAGUGGAAAUGGCCAAUA
RNAcentral lists this long non-coding RNA (344 nucleotides) under Homo sapiens (human). RNAcentral's name for it is "non-protein coding lnc-ZFPM2-2:2". The record is from RNAcentral. Lineage: Eukaryota; Metazoa; Chordata; Mammalia; Primates; Hominidae.